Molecule: long non-coding RNA, 378 nt
Organism: Vanessa atalanta (red admiral)
Lineage: Eukaryota; Metazoa; Arthropoda; Insecta; Lepidoptera; Nymphalidae
Exons: 3
Source: RefSeq, a predicted model, not a curated record
AUUUUAAUGAAAUGAUUCAAUUUAACGCUUAAAAAUAUUUAUUUAAUGGGUAAACUUUAAUUUCAGUUCAAGUAGUCGACCACAAUCCGAGUCACGGUACGCGUAUAGUUCAUUUUAAUGAAAUGAUUCAAUUUAACGUUUAAAAAUAUUGAUUUAAUGGGUAAAUUUUAAUUUCAGUUCAAGUAGUCGACCACAAUCCGAGUCACGUUCAAGUAGUCGACCACAAUCCGAGUCACGUUCAAGUAGUCGACCACAAUCCGAGUCACGGUACGCGUAUAGUUCAUUUUAAUGAAAUGAUUCAAUUUAACGUUUAAAAAUAUUGAUUUAAUGGGUAAAUUUUAAUUUCAGUUCAAGUAGUCGACCACAAUCCGAGUCACG